GUCUGAUAUAACUGCCCUCCACAGAUCUCCCUCAGUCACGACGGCCACUCCCAGUCUCUUCCUUUGCUUCUAGAAUCGUAGAACCUUUCCACAAUGACACUUUUAGAAUGUGUGUUCCUCCUGACUCUCAUCUCAGCUGUUCAGGGGCAGUCACUCACCUCCUCUGAGCCAGUGGUGAAGAAACCUAGAGAGUCAGUAACACUGUCCUGUGCUGUCUCUGGUCUUUCUCUAAGCUAUCUGCAUUGGAUCCGUCAGAAACCAGGGAAAGGACUUGAGUGGAUUGGUGGCACUGGCACUGUAUUUGCCCAGUCUCUCCAGGGCCAGUUCACCAUCACCAAAGACAGCUCAAAAAACCAGCUGUACUUAGAGGUGAAAAGCCUGAAGAUUGAAGACUCUGCUGUUUAUUAUUGUGCCAGAGACACAGUGACACAGGAAGCUGAAGCGCCAUACAAAAACUGAUCAACAGUGAUCCCA
Oncorhynchus tshawytscha (Chinook salmon) is the source of this 474-nucleotide non-coding RNA. Lineage: Eukaryota; Metazoa; Chordata; Actinopteri; Salmoniformes; Salmonidae. The record is from the annotation of a RefSeq genome assembly.